GACGAACGCUGGCGGCGUGCUUAACACAUGCAAGUCACGGGGGCUGGAGCAAUCCAGUAACCGGCGAACGGGUGCGUAACACGUGAGCAACCUGCCGUACUCAGGGGGAUAGCCGGCCCAACGGCCGGGUAAUACCGCAUACGUUCUCGCAGGGGAGUCCCUGUGGGAGGAAACCUCCGGGGGAGUACGAGGGGCGUCGCGGCCUAUCAGCUAGUUGGUGCGGUAACGGCGCACCAAGGCGACGACGGGAGCUGGUCUGAGAGGAUGGCCAGCCACAUUGGGACUGAGAGACGGCCCAGACUCCUACGGGAGGCAGCAGUGGGGAAGUCUUGCGCAAUGGCCGAAAGGCUGACGCAGCGACGCCGCGU
RNAcentral lists this ribosomal RNA (368 nucleotides) under uncultured bacterium. RNAcentral describes it as "bacterial SSU rRNA". It matches the Rfam family "Bacterial small subunit ribosomal RNA", at positions 28 to 402 of the family's 1533-position model. The record is from RNAcentral.